This is a long non-coding RNA of Sphaerodactylus townsendi, 192 nucleotides long. RefSeq lists it as uncharacterized. Lineage: Eukaryota; Metazoa; Chordata; Lepidosauria; Squamata; Sphaerodactylidae. The record is from RefSeq and is a predicted model, not a curated record. The transcript has 3 exons.
CUUGCCCUGCAGUGAAUUCCCAUCUCCAGCCUUGGACCAUAUGCACCAGAGAAGACAAAGGAUGUACUAAUGUGGUUACCUGCCUUGUAUUGUACUAACUAAUGUUUCUUCCUCUGACUAACACUUUUAACAACCACCUUACUUUCCAUUGUUAUUGUUUCACAGCUGUAAUCUCUUCAGCUAACUUCCCUG